ACAAACCUUCCCAUCAACCAAAGUUACCUCGGAUCCAGUAAAACAGCAACCAAUAACGAAUAUUGAUGGAUUUGGCAACUACAAUCUUGAAGUGUGGGGUGCACCCGGCUCAUACUUUAGUAACAGCAGCAUUCUUAACCUAUAUUUUCUAGAUAGUGGAGAUAGAGCUGUUGUCGAUGGAGUUCGGACUUAUAACUGGAUCAGGGAAUCUCAACUAAGUUGGCUUCGUGAUACUUCUAAAAGAUAUCAGGUAUUGUAGUGGCAGACAUUAGAAGGAAGCAUGUAUGAAUUCUCUCUCUCUCUCGUGCACAUACACAAACACAUGUACCUGUGUCCAGCAUAGGGGUGUGCAUUCGAUUUAUCGAUUCGAUUUUGGCCCUUAUCGAUUAUCGAUUUAAACAUAUGCUUAUCGUUAUCGUUUUAGUAAGGUUUCGAUUUCGAUUUAUCGAUUUUUGGGGCUUAUCGAUUUGGUUAUCAAUUACACCAAUAAGAAAUUUUUCGGGACUCCACGAAAAGUAUAUUGCUACAAACACGCCUUACUACAACAACAACAACAACUACCCAGUAUAGUCCCACAAAGUGGGGUCUGGGGAGGGUAAUAUGUAGACGACCCUUGCCCCUACCCGAAAGGGCAGAGAGGUUGUUUCCAAUCGACCCUCGUCUCAAUGAAGGAAAACAAACACGCCUAAUUAAUAUGGACAAAAAGAAGCUAAAAUAAGAAGAGCACUGUUUAUAACAUAAAUAUUGUGUCAACAAGCACAUGAAACGAAACUAAAGUAAGCGAUCAAAUGUAUGCCACCAACACUCCAAGGAUAUAAAAAAAUAAAAUACAUCACAUCACGGCUAAUUCUGUUUUCCAUUAAUUUGAACUUCAUUCCCUUGAGCUUUAAAUAUGAUCNNNNNNNNNNNNNNNNNNNNNNNNNNNNNNNNNNNNNNNNNNNNNNNNNNNNNNNNNNNNNNNNNNNNNNNNNNNNNNNNNNNNNNNNNNNNNNNNNNNNNNNNNNNNNNNNNNNNNNNNNNNNCAGGGACUUAGGGUAAAGGAAAAGGUAUUAUAAAAUAAGGGUAAAAAAAAAUUUUAAAAAAAUUAGUGUAUCUUAUCGGUUUAUCGAUAAACCGAUAAGCCGAGAAGGACAUAAUCGAAAUCGAUAACUCGAUAAGGAAAAUUUCAAACUCGAAAUCGAUAAAUCGAUAAACCGAUAUCCAUAAACCGAUAACAAAUAAUUGAUUCGAUUUAUCGAUAAACCGAUUUGAAUGCACACCCCUGGUCCAGCAUUAGCCAUGUGCAUGACUUAGUGAUUCGCUGCUCAGCAUUCUAUCCCAAUUUUGCCAUUUUUUAGAACUUUAUGUUCUGUGUUUUCAUUAAUUGUUUCUGCUCCGACGAGGUAGGUUUAGCCUAUUCAGUAUUUAUUAUUAACAUUUUGCAGGUCAAUACAAUUACAGGGACAACGGAAGUAUGCUGAUAAAUCAGUCGAGAGUUCUCUGCCAAUGAUGCAUCCUGCACUAGCAUUUUUCCAUAUCCCGAUUCCAGAAAUUCGUCAAGGUCCCAUAAAAGAUAUUGUUGGCACGUACCGGGAGUAUGUGGCAUGUUCAUCAGUAAACUCCGGAGUUUUGAAGACCUUUGUUUCAAUGGGGGAUGUUAAAGCUGUUUUUAUAGGUCAUGAUCAUACUAAUGAUUUCUGUGGGGAUCUAGAAGGUAUAUGGUUUUGUUAUGGUGGAGGCUAUGGAUAUCAUGGUUAUGGUGUAGCUGGAUGGCCUAGAAGAGCAAGGGUUAUACAUGCAGAACUUGGAAAGGGAAAAGUGGUGUGGAUGGGCGUGGAGAAGAUCAGAACAUGGAAACGACUUGAUGAUGGUGUACUGACCAAGUUUGAUGAGCAAGUCUUGUGGGACAGACAAUCAUUAAGAUGAAAGUAUCAGCCUAUCAGGUAUAGACUGUUCUUUCUGUUGGUUUUCCUAAUUGCUUUCUCAGCCCUUUUGCUAACAUCUUCUCCCUCCGUCCUAAUUGAUGUGGCGGUGUUUGACUCGACAAGGAGUUUAAGAAAGAAAGCAAUACAUUUGAAACUUGUGGUCUAGAACAAACCAUAGAUAUUUGUGUGGUCGUAAAUCAAUUCAUUGAGGGUUAAAUAGGAAUUCUAAAGGUAAACUGUUUUUAAAUAAGAAAAGUCGACAUUCUUUUUGGGACUGACGAAAAAGGAAAGAGUGCCACAUAAAUUUGGGAUUGAUGGAUUUGGCAACUACAAUCUUGAAGUGUGGGGUGCACCCGGCUCAUACUUUAGUAACAGCAGCAUUCUUAACCUAUAUUUUCUAGAUAGUGGAGAUAGAGCUGUUGUCGAUGGAGUUCGGACUUAUAACUGGAUCAGGGAAUCUCAACUAAGUUGGCUUCGUGAUACUUCUAAAAGAUAUCAGGUAUUGUAGUGGCAGACAUUAGAAGGAAGCAUGUAUGAAUUCUCUCUCUCUCUCGUGCACAUACACAAACACAUGUACCUGUGUCCAGC
RNAcentral lists this long non-coding RNA (2492 nucleotides) under Nicotiana benthamiana. Its description in RNAcentral is "long non-coding RNA (NBEN_LNC035895)". The record is from RNAcentral. Lineage: Eukaryota; Viridiplantae; Streptophyta; Magnoliopsida; Solanales; Solanaceae.